GAUGAACGCUAGCUACAGGCUUAACACAUGCAAGUCGAACGGAGUGGCAAACGGGUGAGUAACACGUAAACAACCUGCCUUCAGGAUGGGGACAACAGACGGAAACGACUGCUAAUACCGAAUACCUGAAGAGGGGUUUGCGUCUGAUUAGGCAGUUGGUGGGGUAACGGCCCACCAAACCAACGAUCAGUAGCCGGUCUGAGAGGAUGAACGGCCACACUGGAACUGAGACACGGCCCAGACUCCUACGGGAGGCAGCAGUGGGGAAUAUUGCACAAUGGGCGCAAGCCUGAUGCAGCCAUGCCGCGUGUAUGAAGAAGGCCCUAGGGUUGUAAAGUACUUUCAGUCGGGAGGCGUUACCGACAGAAGAAGCACCGGCUAACUCCGUGCCAGCAGCCGCGGUAAUAC
RNAcentral lists this ribosomal RNA (408 nucleotides) under uncultured bacterium. RNAcentral describes it as "partial 16S ribosomal RNA". It matches the Rfam family "Bacterial small subunit ribosomal RNA", at positions 28 to 526 of the family's 1533-position model. The record is from RNAcentral.